CACCAGACUCCUACGGGAGGCAGCAGUGGGGGAUAUUGCACAAUGGGGGGAACCCUGAUGCAGCGACGCCGCGUGGGUGAAGAAGUAUUUCGGUAUGUAAAGCCCUAUCGGCAGGGAAGAAAUUGGACGGUACCUGACUAAGAAGCCCUGGCUAACUACGUGCCAGCAGCCGCGGUAAUACGUAGGGGGCAAGCGUUAUCCGGAUUCACUGGGUGUAAAGGGAGCGUAGACGGCCAUGCAAGCCUGGAGUGAAAGCCCGGGGCCCAACCCCGGGACUGCUCUGGAAACUGUAAAGCUGGAGUGCGGGAGGGGCAGGCGGAAUUCCUGGUGUAGCGGUGAAAUGCGUAGAUAUCAGGAGGAACACCGGCGGCGAAGGCGGCCUGCUGGACCGUAACUGACGUUGAGGCUCGAAAGCGUGGGGAGCAAACAGGAUUAGAUACCCCAGUA
RNAcentral lists this ribosomal RNA (447 nucleotides) under uncultured bacterium. RNAcentral describes it as "bacterial SSU rRNA". It matches the Rfam family "Bacterial small subunit ribosomal RNA", at positions 329 to 792 of the family's 1533-position model. The record is from RNAcentral.